UCCAGGGACCGAAGGAGCUCCGGGGUCCCCAGGCUCUGCUGGACCCGAUGGACCCCCGGGGGCACCGGGACUCCCAGGCCCACAAGGCCCCCCCGGGGUCCCCGGGCACGAAGGACCCCCCGGCUCUCCAGGACCCGCAGCGCUCCCUGGCAAACCAGGGCUCCGAGGGGAGCCAGGAUUCCCCGGAUUAAAGGUAAGGGGGUCCCACGUCUUCCACCCACGGACCCCAGGGACGCAGCAGGGGGGUGCCCCAAGCCCCACACCCUGCCCCUGUGGGGUCUGGGGUGCCGUGAGCCCCUCCAUCACCUCCCCACGUGCAGGGUGAGAAGGGCGAGCACGGGCUGCCGGGCAUGCCGGGGAGCCCCGGCCGGCCUGGAGAGAUGGGCUCCCCGGGUAUGCCCGGUCCCAUGGGGCCACCGGGGCCACCGGGGGACUACAGGUGUGAGUCGCGGCACGCAGGGCACCACGGAUCAGCCGGGCCGCCGGGCCCCAAGGGUGAAAAGGGCGACCCAGGAGAGCGGGUUUGUACCGGGGAGGGCUGAAAAGGGGGAGCUGGGGGGGCUUCCUUCAUGCCCCAAGAGCGAAACCUGUGCACUGCCCCACGUUGGGGGGGGCAGAGCCUCCCCACACCGGCAUGGCCAGAGGGACCGGUCAGAGCCCCCAAACCGGGCUGGGACAUGGGGGGGCAGCAAAUCACACCGCCCUGUGUCACAUCCAGAUGCACAGUGCACCCCAGUGCACUCCAGUGCACCCCAGUACACACCAGCACACACCCAUGCACGUCCCCUGCCCCUGCACCCCACACAGGCUCUAACCCUGCCCCUCUCUCUGCCCACCCAGGGGUGCUGCUACGGGGAACACGGGUGCAAACCGGGCCACCUCCCCUUCCCCAGCACUGGCAGCCAGUCCAGCUCCUGGGUGCCCAUCAGCGGGUACCAAACGGUGAGUCCUGGGGGGCUCACGGGGCACGGGGACCCCCGCCCGGCCAUGGGGGGGCUGAACCCAGGUAUCGGCACGACCCACACCACCCCGGCUGCCCCACGGGGCUCAGGGCUGGGACGGAGAGUGGGCAGGUGGAGACCGGCCUCGAUCUUCUCUCUCUUGUUUUUACAGCCCAGCAAAGAGGAGACGGAGGUUUACGGAGCAAUCAUCCCCCACGUGAGAGCCCGCGCCUGCGCGAUGGGGGUGUCUUGCAGCUGCCCCCCAAAAGGCAGCCCCGAAACACCCCAGCCCCAUCUCAGCACUGCUCGUCACCGCAGGGUCCUCGAGGUCCCCCUGGGAACCCCGGUCCCCCCGGCCCGCCCGGCCCCCCCGGAGCCCCGGGUCUCCUCUACCUCAACGUAAGGGGCAGCAGGGGCAGCGCACGCGGCCGUGAGGGUGCCCGGAGCCGGGGGCCCCCUGCUCCUCAGCCUGUCUUUGCUUCCAGAGGGUGUACCCCAUCCGCGCCCAGCCGCCCUGCAAGGAGCCGGCAGCGGCUGACGCAGCCUGGGCAGCAGAUGCUGACGCCUCUCGGACGGAGCCGCCGGAGCCCCGUGCUGACCUCCGGGUGCGUGCCGGGCUGUGCCCGUGGGGUCGGGGUGGCCCCGGGGGUGGCAGCUCGGCCUCGAACCUCUCCAUCCCUUGGCAGCGCCAGACGUGGGUCUUCAGGUCCAAGGAGCUGA
RNAcentral lists this long non-coding RNA (1661 nucleotides) under Cairina moschata (Muscovy duck). RNAcentral's name for it is "domestica (muscovy Duck (domestic type)) lncRNA (ENSCMMG00000005934.1)". The record is from RNAcentral. Lineage: Eukaryota; Metazoa; Chordata; Aves; Anseriformes; Anatidae.